This 909-nucleotide long non-coding RNA is filed under the name Vulpes vulpes (red fox). RNAcentral describes it as "lncRNA (ENSVVUG00000004783.1)". Lineage: Eukaryota; Metazoa; Chordata; Mammalia; Carnivora; Canidae. The record is from RNAcentral.
CUGAGACCCGCGCUCCGCAAUCCUCCCCGCCCUCCUCUUAGCCCCACUUUCCGCAGACUCCGGGUCACCCGGGCUUCCGAGGACAGUUAGUGUGUGCAAGCGAGCGCCCGGGUCCCCGAGCCCUCGGAGGGCGCAGCAGCCCCUCCGCCCCGCGGCGUCUCCGGGGCGCGGGCCGUGCGCUCCUGCCCGCGGCCUCCGCACGUGAGCGCAACUUCCCGCAGGAGCCUCGUCCGCAGGGCCCCGCGCACCAGCACCGCGCGCUGCCCCCGCGUGCCCGCCGCGGUCGCAGGGACACGCGGAACCCGCAAGAAAGAGGACGACUCUUUCCCAACUUAGAGUCUUAAAAAAGGAAGUGGGGAGAAAGGGAAGGAAGGUUAUCCACGCCAAAUGACCCAAAGCUCUGCAAAGCUCUGCACUUACGGCCCGCCAGCGCCCGCGCUGUCCCAUUUUACAGAUGGUGUCUCCUUCGCUUGGUCAGAGAUGCCAAGAAACUGGAGUAGCAGCUACAACUUUAUCUGGCACAGUCUGGCAAAUCCAUCAACACUAAAAUUCCAACAGGUAUACGUUUUACUUAAAAAAAAAAAAAAUCGUUCUGGUUUGUCAAUUUCACCGAUCACAGUGGUGGUUCAUCUUGCUUUUUGGCUUUUCCACCACCAUCAUUUCCGUUUUUCACUAAGAUCAUUAAAAUAUUCCUCUGAGCCCCUCCCCAAACCCCUUCUUUCCAGAAAGAGAUCUACUUAUAUGUGAACAGUCUUUGGGUCCCCCAGGCAGUUCAUCCCCCUGGGGGCCUGGGCAAGAGCAUUUCCCAAGGGAGGUGACUCAGAGAUAUCUGAGCCCCUGGCCCUGUCCUGCACUCACACUGCAUAAAGGCCUAUAGCUGUUGCAGUUGCAAUUUUCUCUCUAAACCCC